GAAAUGCGAUAAGUAAUGUGAAUUGCAGAAUUCCGUGAAUCAUUAAAUCUUUGAACGCACAUUGCGCCCUCUGGUUAUUCCUAAGGGCAUGCCUGUUCGAGAAUCAGUUUAACCAUCAAACCUAUUGUUGUAACAAACAGUAAGCUUGGAUUUGGGACUUCUCGAUAGAGAGACCCUAAUAACAUUUGUUGCCCUACUCUAGUAAGACUAUGUGAAAAGGCAUGACCAUUGAACGCAAGUUCUUUAACAAUGCUGUAGUAAUAUUAUUUUUCUAAAGAUUGAGUGCACCGAAAUUUUCACGAAGAAGUAAAAUUCUUUAAGACUUGAUCUCGAAUCAGACAAGACUACCCGCUGAACUUAA
RNAcentral lists this unclassified non-coding RNA (361 nucleotides) under uncultured Chytridiomycota. Its description in RNAcentral is "sequence contains ITS1". The stretch from base 1 to 106 matches the Rfam family "5.8S ribosomal RNA", at positions 50 to 154 of the family's 154-position model. Lineage: Eukaryota; Fungi; Chytridiomycota. The record is from RNAcentral.